UACGUAGGUGGCAAGCGUUGUCCGGAUUUACUGGGCGUAAAGAGCGCGCAGGCGGUCGUUCAAGUCGCGUGUGAAAGCCCCCGGCUCAACUGGGGAGGGUCACGCGAUACUGAUCGACUCGAAGGCAGGAGAGGGAAGUGGAAUUCCCGGUGUAGUGGUGAAAUGCGCAGAUAUCAGGAGGAACACCGGUGGCGAAGGCGGUGGUCUGGGCCGGCACUGACGCUGAGGAGCGAAAGCGUGGGGAGCGAACAGG
This 253-nucleotide ribosomal RNA is filed under the name uncultured bacterium. RNAcentral's name for it is "partial 16S ribosomal RNA". It matches the Rfam family "Bacterial small subunit ribosomal RNA", at positions 524 to 776 of the family's 1533-position model. The record is from RNAcentral.